UGACUGACUGAGUGCCAGCAGCCGCGGUAAUACGUAUGGUGCAAGCGUUAUCCGGAUUUACUGGGUGUAAAGGGAGCGUAGACGGAUAGGCAAGUCUGGAGUGAAAGCCCGGGGCUCAACCCCGGGACUGCUUUGGAAACUGUUUAUCUAGAGUGCUGGANAGGUAAGUGGAAUUCCUAGUGUAGCGGUGAAAUGCGUAGAUAUUAGGAGGAACACCAGUGGCGAAGGCGGCUUACUGGACAGUAACUGACGUUGAGGCUCNAAAGC
Molecule: ribosomal RNA, 267 nt
Filed under: uncultured bacterium
Lineage: Bacteria
Description: partial 16S ribosomal RNA
Rfam family: Bacterial small subunit ribosomal RNA
Source: RNAcentral